Molecule: transfer RNA, 17 nt
Filed under: Rollulus rouloul (Crested partridge)
Lineage: Eukaryota; Metazoa; Chordata; Aves; Galliformes; Phasianidae
Description: partial tRNA-Phe
Source: RNAcentral
CCAUCUACCUAGGGGCA